GUAACCAGACUCCAUCCAAGUUUCUACGACAGUCGACCGCCUUUCGGAUCUCAACCGAGCUCCCACGAGAGCCGAACUUCUACUACGAGCGGUCUACUCCAAAUUCUUAUAGCGGGCUGCCUACCCCAGAUAUCUACUAUAAGAAAAUACCAUUCGAGCCUCUACUGUAAACAAAUUUCUUCCGAACUUCUAUUACAGGUAGACUUCAGCCGAGCUUCUUCGUAGUCGGAUCCCAGACGAGCUUCUACCAUGGGCAGGAUCCACCGGCCAGGUCGUUACUCUGAGCUCCCACGACAACCGAUCUUCGAUCGAGCUCCUACAAUAAGCGACCUCCUUUCAGCCUCCCA
Molecule: long non-coding RNA, 347 nt
Filed under: Elaeis guineensis (African oil palm)
Lineage: Eukaryota; Viridiplantae; Streptophyta; Magnoliopsida; Arecales; Arecaceae
Description: long non-coding RNA (EGUI_LNC070836)
Source: RNAcentral